UUCUUAUCAAGAGCGGUGGAGGGACUGGCCCUAUGAUACCCGGCAACCGACCGAAAGGCACGGUGCUAAUUCCUGAAGGAUUUACAAUCCUAGAGAUGAGAU
This 102-nucleotide non-coding RNA is filed under the name Gracilibacter sp. Its description in RNAcentral is "SAM-I sequence". It matches the Rfam family "SAM riboswitch aptamer (S box leader)". Rfam says of the family: The SAM riboswitch is found upstream of a number of genes which code for proteins involved in methionine or cysteine biosynthesis in Gram-positive bacteria. The record is from RNAcentral. Lineage: Bacteria; Bacillati; Bacillota; Clostridia; Eubacteriales; Gracilibacteraceae.